GGCCUUGACAUACUAAGAACUUUCCAGAGAUGGAUUGGUGCCUUCGGGAACUUAGAUACAGGUGCUGCAUGGCUGUCGUCAGCUCGUGUCGUGAGAUGUUGGGUUAAGUCCGCAACGAGCGCAACCUUUUCCUAUUUGCCAGCGGGUAAUGCCGGGAACUUUAAGGAUACUGCCAGUGACAAACUAGAGGAAGGCGGGGACGACGUCAAGUCAUCAUGGCCCUUACGGCCAGGGCUACACACGUGCUACAAUGGUCGGUACAAAGGGUUGCUACCUCGCGAGAGGAUGCUAAUCUCAAAAAGCCGAUCGUAGUCCGGAUCGCAGUCUGCAACUCGACUGCGUGAAGUCGGAAUCGCUAGUAAUCGCGGAUCAGAAUGCCGCGGUGAAUACGUUCCCGGGCCUUGUACACACCGCCCGUCACACCAUGGGAGUUUGUUGCACCAGAAGUAGGUAGUCUAACCGCAAGGAGGACGCUUACCACGGUGUGGCCGAUGACUGGGGUGAAGUCGUAACAAGGUAGGCGUAGAUGA
This 530-nucleotide ribosomal RNA is filed under the name uncultured bacterium. RNAcentral's name for it is "bacterial SSU rRNA". It matches the Rfam family "Bacterial small subunit ribosomal RNA", at positions 977 to 1509 of the family's 1533-position model. The record is from RNAcentral.